RNAcentral lists this long non-coding RNA (584 nucleotides) under Mustela putorius furo (domestic ferret). RNAcentral's name for it is "lncRNA (ENSMPUG00000028739.1)". Lineage: Eukaryota; Metazoa; Chordata; Mammalia; Carnivora; Mustelidae. The record is from RNAcentral.
GUUACAGUCCAUGGAGGACUUUUCAAGGUUUUUCUUGACCCAAAGGGAGGCAGUAAACCUGUGUUUUGUGAAGCUCCUGCAGAGCUCUUCUCAGACAACACAAUCUGGGCUCAGCCUUAGGGUAACUACGCUGAAUGACGCUACCCACUUGCACAAUGCAAGUGCUAACAGAGGCUGUUCUGCAUGGCAGACCACACAGGGAAGCAUAAGUAGUGUCAACAGUUUUUCUGUUUUUCAAAAGGGAGAAGCAAUUCCGAGAAGGCUGUCACAAUCUCCUAAUGCAACGGACUCCCUGAGUGAAACAGUGAAAAGAGAACAUAAGCAGGGGAAGUGGGAGAGGGAGAAGCAAGCUCCCCACGGAGCAGGACCUGAUCCCAGGACCCGAUCCCAGGAGCCCAGGAUCAUGACCCAGGCUGGAGGCGGACACUUGACUACUGAGCCACCCAAGUGUCCCUACUGUGAGCUUUCUGUCUCUCGAAGCUGACUCUUACCUGAUCCAGGUAGAAAUAAAUAAGACCAUCUUGAUAAAGAACUAAAAUUUUGAUUAAUCUUUGCACUCUUCUUUUAAUAUUUUACAUUGACCU